UACGAAUGUGGCGAAAUGGUAGACGCGAAAGCUUCAAAAGCUUUUCUCCUCAAGGUGGUGUAGGUUCAAGUCCUAUCAUUCGUAU
RNAcentral lists this transfer RNA (85 nucleotides) under Hariotina sp. MMOGRB0030F. RNAcentral's name for it is "tRNA-Leu". It matches the Rfam family "tRNA". Rfam says of the family: Transfer RNA (tRNA) molecules are approximately 80 nucleotides in length. Their secondary structure includes four short double-helical elements and three loops (D, anti-codon, and T loops). Further hydrogen bonds mediate the characteristic L-shaped molecular structure. tRNAs have two regions of fundamental functional importance: the anti-codon, which is responsible for specific mRNA codon recognition, and the 3' end, to which the tRNAs corresponding amino acid is attached (by aminoacyl-tRNA synthetases). tRNAs cope with the degeneracy of the genetic code in two manners: having more than one tRNA (with a specific anti-codon) for a particular amino acid; and 'wobble' base-pairing, i.e. permitting non-standard base-pairing at the 3rd anti-codon position. The record is from RNAcentral. Lineage: Eukaryota; Viridiplantae; Chlorophyta; Chlorophyceae; Sphaeropleales; Scenedesmaceae.